AACGCACGAGACCUGCGGACCUGCGGAGGGAUCAUUAAUGAGAAACUGCCCCUCGCGGGUAGAUCUCCCACCCUUUGUAAACUUACCUUUGUUGCUUUGGCAGGCCCGUCUCCGGACCGCCGGCUUCGGCUGGCCAGUGCCUGCCAGAGGAUUCUAAAACUCUGUCUGUCAGUGUUGUCUGAGUUUAUAUACAAUCGUUAAAACUUUUAGCAACGGAUCUCUAGAUCGGAAGAGCACACG
Molecule: unclassified non-coding RNA, 240 nt
Filed under: soil metagenome
Description: partial contains 5.8S ribosomal RNA, internal transcribed spacer 2, and large subunit ribosomal RNA
Source: RNAcentral